CCCUAGCCUGAGUGACAGAGUGAGGUCCUGUCUCAAACGAACAAACAACAACAACACAGAACCUUAGGCAAUCUAACAAAAAUGUAGUUUUGGUCAAUUUUUGCUAUUUUAAAUUCCUGAUUUUUCUUUACAUUCUAAUGCAAAGGGAAAUGAAAGCACUGGUGAGACCUAGGCUGGAGGGGCCUGCCCUCGGCCUACUGUAUGUUACCUCUGGGUGACCUCUGCAAAAUCUCCAGAGGCAUCUUGGGUGAGGAAUAAGCCAAUGUGAGCAUCUCAGAAAAGGUUUUCACUUUAGGCCUUCCUGAAGCAAGAGCCUAAGAGAGUUGGGAUAGAGCAGGAGCACAUCAUGCUCUCUUAAGCAUUUCCCACCAAGUGACCUGGAUACAGGGCUGUCUCUAGGGUGUGGGUGCUUGGCUACCAGAGUUCUAAGUUUUGUUGGGGUCUGUCACCAAGGUAGUAAGAUGGCUUUUUCAAAGUUUCAUCCUCUGGGCUCCUGGCUUCCAUAAGACCUACCCAAAGGCCCUGCUGGGCUAUUGACUGCUCACUAUCCCUGCAUGUCAACUCUUUACCUGUGCACAGUUAUGCAAGUACAGCCCUUCUCAGUUCCCUGGAAAGACCUGAAUGCAGCCAGGGCCUCAGGUGUGAGAUCACAGAUCCAGGUCACGCUGUUAUAGCAAAGAUAGACUGAGCCGCUUAUCAACAACAGAAUGUUCUUCUUCACAGUUCUGGAGGACAGAAGUUGAAGAUCAGAACGCCAGCAUGGAUGGAGUCUGGACAGAGGCUCCCUUUUCCUACAGUUGGAAUGAGGGAUGGGGAGAUUUGAUGGUGUCCUGUACAAGUUGGAUGUUAAUUUGACGUGGUGCUGCUGGAGAAGCUUGCCUGAGUCAGGCACAUUCUCAGCACGUGGUAUGUGCUGCCCCUUCAAAGCUGCAGGAGUCUCAGAAGUUAUGCUGGCUUCUAUCCACAGCUGCACUCCAGGUGGGGAAUACCUAUGGAUGCACCAGGGUGCAACUACUCAAAGACUCCAGUGUGCAGAAGGGCCCCUGCUCCAUGUUGUUCCCAUAUCCAAGCCCAAGCUCAUCUAGGACUUCAGCAAACCCAAGCUUCCCUGAAUUCCCUGCUGAGACCAAACUGAGCCCUGUGACCCACACUACUACACUGGCUGGAAGGGGGACUCCAGAAACUUGGGAAACCCAGGCUUACAGCUGGCAUAUGGAAAACAGGCCUGGAAGAGCACCACUCCUGUCCAUGAAGCCCCCCAGAUGAAACCAGGAGGGAGGAACAUCUGACCCCACGCACAAGUGGAGACACUAGGUGUGGGCAGGUCCCAGUGGUUGCUGCAGGUGAACCUUCCCAACCAACCACACAAGGCCAUCUCAGGUUCGGGGAGUAGGGGGACCUCUCCCACUCCUUCCAGGAGCCACGUCUUUCAAGAUGAGGCACUCUGCCUCCCUGUUCCCAUUUGGCCCCAAUAGGCCAUUGCCAACAUUCAGAGAACAAAAAGAAAGGAGCCUCACCCGUUUUCCCUGACACAUCGGAGGCAGGGAGGAGAUACCAAGAGGUCAUCACACAGGCCAUGGACGAGUUCUACAAGAGCCAGGUAGAAGAGAACUGUCCAGGCAUGCUGCCCAGCACCCAGCUCACACACGCAUCUCUUAUUUGAAGCUUCCCCAAAGCAGGUCUUGAAGUCCAGCCUCCCUGAGAAGCUGCGGAGGAGACUCGGCUGAGCUAAAGGGCCUAUCACCAAAUGUGCCACCCUUGCUUGUCUCAUCCUGGCAAUCUUGGAUUAUUUUUGCCCUGAAAUUUUGGAGCAGGGGACAGGGAAGACAGAAGACAGUGUGUAUCAGCCCUCCAGACUGAGGCAGGUCAGACCUCCACUCGGGUACUUUUCUCCUCACUAGUUGCCAGCUGGGGGAAGCAGCACUUGUGAGCACCUGCCUGUCUCCCCAGGUCCUGUUGAGAAACCCCAUCUGUGCCUUUAGAGACUGCCCAGAUUACACAGACCCAGCAACCGCAUCUACAGCCCCCAGGGCCUAUCCCUUUCUACAUGGGUUUCACUGCAUGUGAGUACACGGUGGGCUUGAUUCCUGCCCACUACUCCCUGCCAGAUACCCCAUGCCCUCCUCAUGAAGAAAAUGAGGCCACACGGACACACUCAACCCAUCAUGGUGAGAGGGUGGCUGAGGCUCUACUUGCCUACCCUUCAUUGCUGGUUCAGGGCCAGCUGUCUGGCCAUAUCCCUACCCAGAGGUGGGACUUUGGGGACAUUGUCCACCGGGAUCACUGGCCACUUUUAAAGUUCCAAAAACAGAAGAUCAGCUAGUCCCCUCAGAGUUCAGUACAUGGGAUAAGCUGCAGCUUGCCUUCAGGAACAGGUUUCCCACCAAGUAGAUGCCCAAGGCCCAGGGCACGCCCAAGUUUGUGUGAAGCCUGUCUGCCAUGUCCAAAGCCCAUGCUGACCCCCCCAACCCUGGAGCCACUGGAAUGCUUGUUCCUGGGCAUAUAAGACCAAGAUAGCUGCAGCCUUGCAGGACCACUAUGCCCAUCUGGCAGCAGCACCCAGAGGGCCUAGAGAAAGAAGUUGGAGGUGAAACCAGAUGCUGUUAGGAUGUUUUAUCAGGCAAAACCACAUACUAUAAAAAGGCUUUAAAAUGCAACAGAAGGAGAUGUGAAGACACAAACAAGUGCCUAGUGACACAUGGCUAUCAGAACACAUUAGAGAAUCCACACCACUUCCCCCCUUUAACCAGAAAGGGCAGGCUUUAGGCCACCUCCUCC
RNAcentral lists this long non-coding RNA (2778 nucleotides) under Homo sapiens (human). Its description in RNAcentral is "HSALNT0298781". Lineage: Eukaryota; Metazoa; Chordata; Mammalia; Primates; Hominidae. The record is from RNAcentral.